This 1343-nucleotide ribosomal RNA is filed under the name uncultured bacterium. RNAcentral describes it as "16S ribosomal RNA". It matches the Rfam family "Bacterial small subunit ribosomal RNA", at positions 28 to 1378 of the family's 1533-position model. The record is from RNAcentral.
GACGAACGCUGGCGGCGUGCUUAACACAUGCAAGUCGAACGGAAAGGCCCUGCUUUUGUGGGGUGCUCGAGUGGCGAACGGGUGAGUAACACGUGAGUAACCUGCCCUUGACUUUGGGAUAACUUCAGGAAACUGGGGCUAAUACCGGAUAGGAGCUCCUGCUGCAUGGUGGGGGUUGGAAAGUUUCGGCGGUUGGGGAUGGACUCGCGGCUUAUCAGCUUGUUGGUGGGGUAGUGGCUUACCAAGGCUUUGACGGGUAGCCGGCCUGAGAGGGUGACCGGCCACAUUGGGACUGAGAUACGGCCCAGACUCCUACGGGAGGCAGCAGUGGGGAAUAUUGCACAAUGGGCGGAAGCCUGAUGCAGCAACGCCGCGUGCGAGAUGACGGCCUUCGGGUUGUAAACCGCUUUCGCCUGUGACGAAGCGUGAGUGACGGUAAUGGGUAAAGAAGCACCGGCUAACUACGUGCCAGCAGCCGCGGUGAUACGUAGGGUGCGAGCGUUGUCCGGAUUUAUUGGGCGUAAAGGGCUCGUAGGUGGUUGAUCGCGUCGGAAGUGUAAUCUUGGGGCUUAACCCUGAGCGUGCUUUCGAUACGGGUUGACUUGAGGAAGGUAGGGGAGAAUGGAAUUCCUGGUGGAGCGGUGGAAUGCGCAGAUAUCAGGAGGAACACCAGUGGCGAAGGCGGUUCUCUGGGCCUUCCCUGACGCUGAGGAGCGAAAGCGUGGGGAGCGAACAGGCUUAGAUACCCUGGUAGUCCACGCUGUAAACGGUGGGUACUAGGUGUGGGGUCCAUUCCACGGGUUCCGUGCCGUAGCUAACGCUUUAAGUACCCCGCCUGGGGAGUACGGCCGCAAGGCUAAAACUCAAAGGAAUUGACAGGGCCCCGCACAAGCGGCGGAGCAUGCGGAUUAAUUCGAUGCAACGCGUAGAACCUUACCUGGGUUUGACAUGGAUCGGGAGCGCUCAGAGAUGGGUGUGCCUCUUUUGGGGUCGGUUCACAGGUGGUGCAUGGCUGUCGUCAGCUCGUGUCGUGAGAUGUUGGGUUAAGUCCCGCAACGAGCGCAACCCUUGUUCACUGUUGCCAGCACGUUAUGGUGGGGACUCAGUGGAGACCGCCGGGGUCAACUCGGAGGAAGGUGGGGAUGACGUCAAGUCAUCAUGCCCCUUAUGUCCAGGGCUUCACGCAUGCUACAAUGGCUGGUACAGAGAGUGGCGAGCCUGUGAGGGUGAGCGAAUCUCGGAAAGCCGGUCUCAGUUCGGAUUGGGGUCUGCAACUCGACCUCAUGAAGUCGGAGUCGCUAGUAAUCGCAGAUCAGCAACGCUGCGGUGAAUACGUUCCCGGG